Molecule: ribosomal RNA, 490 nt
Filed under: uncultured bacterium
Lineage: Bacteria
Description: partial 16S ribosomal RNA
Rfam family: Bacterial small subunit ribosomal RNA
Source: RNAcentral
GAUGAACGCUAGCUACAGGCUUAACACAUGCAAGUCGCGGGGCAGCAUGGGGGUUGCUUGCAAUCCCCGAUGGCGACCGGCGCACGGGUGAGUAACGCGUAUCCAACCUGCCCUUCACCACGGGAUAACACGGCGAAAGUCGGACUAAUACCGUAUGUUGUCCAUUGACGGCAUCCGAUUUGGACGAAAGGUUUGGCGGUGAAGGAUGGGGAUGCGUCCGAUUGGCUGGACGGCGGGGUGACGGCCCACCGUGGCGACGAUCGGUAGGGGUUCUGAGAGGAAGGCCCCCCACACUGGAACUGAGACACAGUCCAGACUCCUACGGGAGGCAGCAGUGAGGAAUAUUGGUCAAGGGGCGUAAGCCUGAACCAGCCAAGUAGCGUGCAGGAGGACGGCCCUAUGGGUUGUAAACUGCUUUUAUGCGGGGAUAAAGUGGCCCACGUGUGGGUUUUUGCAGGUACCGCAUGAAUAAGGACCGGCUAAUUCCGUG